Molecule: transfer RNA, 94 nt
Filed under: Candidatus Peregrinibacteria bacterium RIFOXYA2_FULL_41_18
Lineage: Bacteria; Candidatus Peregrinibacteriota
Also listed under: 2 other names
Description: tRNA-Ser
Rfam family: tRNA
About the family: Transfer RNA (tRNA) molecules are approximately 80 nucleotides in length. Their secondary structure includes four short double-helical elements and three loops (D, anti-codon, and T loops). Further hydrogen bonds mediate the characteristic L-shaped molecular structure. tRNAs have two regions of fundamental functional importance: the anti-codon, which is responsible for specific mRNA codon recognition, and the 3' end, to which the tRNAs corresponding amino acid is attached (by aminoacyl-tRNA synthetases). tRNAs cope with the degeneracy of the genetic code in two manners: having more than one tRNA (with a specific anti-codon) for a particular amino acid; and 'wobble' base-pairing, i.e. permitting non-standard base-pairing at the 3rd anti-codon position.
Source: RNAcentral
GGAGAGGUACCCAAGUGGCUGAAGGGGCGGGUUUGCUAAACCUGUAGGGUGGAUUUUUUCCGCCGCGAGGGUUCGAAUCCCUCCCUCUCCGCCA